UUUCCGUAGGUGAACCUGCGGAAGGAUCAUUACCGAGUUGCAAAACUCCCAAACCAUUGUGAACGUUACCUAUCCCGUUGCUUCGGCGGGCGGCCCGGGCCCCGCGCCCGGCGCCCCCCGGCCCCCCGUGGGCGCCCGCCGGAGGUAAACCAAACCCUUGAAUUGCAUGGCCUCUCUGAGUCUUCUGUACUGAAUAAGUCAAAACUUUCAACAACGGAUCUCUUGGUUCUG
Molecule: unclassified non-coding RNA, 231 nt
Filed under: plant metagenome
Description: partial contains small subunit ribosomal RNA, internal transcribed spacer 1, and 5.8S ribosomal RNA
Source: RNAcentral